RNAcentral lists this ribosomal RNA (459 nucleotides) under uncultured bacterium. RNAcentral's name for it is "bacterial SSU rRNA". It matches the Rfam family "Bacterial small subunit ribosomal RNA", at positions 34 to 507 of the family's 1533-position model. The record is from RNAcentral.
CGCUGGCGGCGUGCUUAACACAUGCAAGUCGAACGGUGAACCAGGGCUUGCCCUGGGGAUCAGUGGCGAACGGGUGAGUAACACGUGGGCAACCUGCCCCUGACUCUGGGAUAACUCCUCGAAAGAGGUGCUAAUACCGGAUACGACCACUUCGGGCAUCCGAUGGUGGUGGAAAGAAUUUUGGUCAGGGAUGGGCCCGCGGCCUAUCAGCUUGUUGGUGGGGUAACGGCCCACCAAGGCGACGACGGGUAGCCGGCCUGAGAGGGCGACCGGCCACACUGGGACUGAGACACGGCCCAGACUCCUACGGGAGGCAGCAGUGGGAAUAUUGCGCAAUGGGCGAAAGCCUGACGCAGCGACGCCGCGUGAGGGACGACGGCCUUCGGGUUGUAAACCUCUUUCAGCAGGGACGAAGCGAAAGUGACGGUACCUGCAGAAGAAGCACCGGCUAACUACGUG